GACGAACCGUGCGAACGUUGUUCGGAUUCACUGGGCUUAAAGGGCGCGUAGGCGGUUGCUCACGUCCGGGGUGAAAGCUUUCGGCUUAACCGGAAAAGGGCCUUGGAUACGGAGCAGCUCGAGGGAGGUAGGGGCAGGUGGAACUUCCGGUGGAGCGGUGAAAUGCGUUGAUAUCGGAAGGAACGCCGGUGGCGAAAGCGACCUGCUGGACCUCUUCUGACGCUGAGGCGCGAAAGCCAGGGGAGCAAACGGG
Molecule: ribosomal RNA, 253 nt
Filed under: uncultured bacterium
Lineage: Bacteria
Description: partial 16S ribosomal RNA
Rfam family: Bacterial small subunit ribosomal RNA
Source: RNAcentral